AACUGGACUCGAGUUAUGUACACCUCUGUAUACCCAUAACUUUUUUUUCCCUAUGAGACUAUUCGCCUUUGCCUUUUCUUUUUUGUCUGUCAGACUCUCCACUUCCCGAAAAUUGUGCCUGACGUUAAAGUCAAAGCAGUUAUAGGGUAUGGCAUUUAUUGUACCCUACUUUUUUUAUUGAUUUAUUUCAAACGUUUUCUUUUUGUUCUCUUUCCUCUAUCAUCACCUUCAUUUUACCAUGUCUAUCUCUCCCCUCAUCUCUGCAAAUCAAAGCUUUUUCUUCUUUUCUAAGUUUAUCAACCACAGCCGUGUCCACCGUUUUUCGCCAGAUCUGACCCGUAUCCCGUGUCAGAAUCUGUGUCGGAUCGUGUCGACACGGGUACGGCACCCCAAACAGCCGAGUCCGGGUAACGAAGGUUGCGUUUAAAGUGAGUAUAUUGUCCUGCAAUGAAAGGUUGUUUUGGCCUUUGUUGAGAAGGCGCUUGUUAGUGAUGUUCUUGUGGAAGAAUUUCCAGUUCAACGGGAUCAUCUUCGAAACUAAUUUGAACAUGGCAAGGUUCUUUCCAAUAGCUCAGGUAGCUGAAUUAAGGAGAGAUAUUAUCGGAAUAUGACAAAAGACAACCGAAUCACUCUAUGACUACUAAGAGCGAUACAAGAAAUUGUGUGCAAGUUUCCUACAACAUUGCCUAAUUGAACAAUCACUUCUUCAAUAUUUCUAUGAGGAAUUACUCUUUAUGGAAAUGAAGAUCAUUGAUGCUACCAGUGGAGGAGCACUUGUUAACAUGACUCCUUAAGGAGCAAUGAAAUUAAUUUCAACUAUUAAUGCAAAUUCCCAAUAAUUUCGACCAACUACAAAA
Molecule: long non-coding RNA, 857 nt
Organism: Gossypium arboreum
Lineage: Eukaryota; Viridiplantae; Streptophyta; Magnoliopsida; Malvales; Malvaceae
Exons: 3
Source: RefSeq, a predicted model, not a curated record